RNAcentral lists this ribosomal RNA (192 nucleotides) under Escherichia coli. RNAcentral's name for it is "partial 16S ribosomal RNA". It matches the Rfam family "Bacterial small subunit ribosomal RNA", at positions 1 to 186 of the family's 1533-position model. RNAcentral also lists the same sequence under 8 other names. Lineage: Bacteria; Pseudomonadati; Pseudomonadota; Gammaproteobacteria; Enterobacterales; Enterobacteriaceae. The record is from RNAcentral.
AAAUUGAAGAGUUUGAUCAUGGCUCAGAUUGAACGCUGGCGGCAGGCCUAACACAUGCAAGUCGAACGGUAACAGGAAGCAGCUUGCUGCUUCGCUGACGAGUGGCGGACGGGUGAGUAAUGUCUGGGAAACUGCCUGAUGGAGGGGGAUAACUACUGGAAACGGUAGCUAAUACCGCAUAACGUCGCAAGA